AUUCCUGUUUUAGUCCCGCCCAUCUGCUUCCUCUACAGAUGGGUGGCUAUGCUAACAGGAUAGAUAAACCGUCCGUCAUUGUCUGAAGGGGUUGAGCAGCCUUCACUCCUCCACCUCUAUAUGAAAUUACGGCACAUUUUUCA
Small nucleolar RNA from Oncorhynchus kisutch (coho salmon), 143 nucleotides. NCBI's taxonomy places the organism in Eukaryota, Metazoa, Chordata, Actinopteri, Salmoniformes, Salmonidae. The record is from Ensembl.